This 454-nucleotide ribosomal RNA is filed under the name uncultured bacterium. Its description in RNAcentral is "bacterial SSU rRNA". It matches the Rfam family "Bacterial small subunit ribosomal RNA", at positions 340 to 786 of the family's 1533-position model. The record is from RNAcentral.
UACGGAAGGCAGCAGUGGGGAAUAUUGCACAAUGGGCGCAAGCCUGAUGCAGCCAUGCCGCGUGUAUGAAGAAGGCCUUCGGGUUGUAAAGUACUUUCAGUCGUGAGGAAGGUGUUAAGGUUAAUAACCUUAGCAAUUGACGUUAGCGACAGAAGAAGCACCGGCUAACUCCGUGCCAGCAGCCGCGGUAAUACGGAGGGUGCGAGCGUUAAUCGGAAUUACUGGGCGUAAAGGGCACGCAGGCGGUUAAUUAAGUUGGAUGUGAAAUCCCCGGGCUUAACCUGGGAAUGGCAUUCAAGACUGGUUAGCUAGAGUCUUGUAGAGGGAGGUAGAAUUCCAUGUGUAGCGGUGAAAUGCGUAGAGAUGUGGAGGAAUACCGGUGGCGAAGGCGGCCCCUGGGACAAAGACUGACGCUCAUGUGCGAAAGCGUGGGGAGCAAACAGGAUUAGAUACC